Molecule: RNA transcript, 1795 nt
Organism: Dipodomys ordii (Ord's kangaroo rat)
Lineage: Eukaryota; Metazoa; Chordata; Mammalia; Rodentia; Heteromyidae
Gene: Fbxo39
Gene name: F-box protein 39
Exons: 3
Source: RefSeq, a predicted model, not a curated record
UGUGAGUUCAAGCUCUAGUACCAAUACCUAAAUUAAUGAAUGAAUUAGUGAAUUAAUUUUAAAAAUUUGCAAAUUCAAGACAUCCAAGUAGUAUCUACUUCUCUAAAUAUUGCGCACACCUCAUGCAUUCACAAUUCUGUGACUUUGCCCAGAAUUUUUGUUUCCUCUGCCUGGAAUAGAUUAGUUUUUCCUCUACCACCACCAGACCAACAUGGCACACUUACCCUACAAAACAACCAGCUUUCACCUCUUCUGAGAAGCCCAUUCUCCUUCCUCACUCCCACAGAAUUAGCCACAUCUACUGUGCUACCCUAGUCCUGGAGGGUAGCUGGAUUUGUGUUCCUAGGUUGACUGAAGUCCUUCCAUGGGGGGCUAUGUUCUGAGUCUCUCUUUAGACUCCCUGCAGUGUGCACAAGCCAAACCCAGUGUACCCAGGAUGGCAGAAGUUCACUGAUUUGAGUUUCAUCUGUUUGCCAUGUAAUGGCUCUUCUUUUUCACUCUCUACAGAAAACAGGUGAUUGCUUUUCUCUGCUCACUCUUGGAAGCCCUGCUCCCACGCAGCAACACCGUCCCUCCCAGUUCUCUGAUGGAUGAAGAAGGCGACCUGAUCCAGCCUCAAGACCAGAGCUGCUGGGCUUCCCUGCCCGACGUGUGCCUUCGUCGCGUUUUCUGGUGGCUGGGAGACAGGGACAGGUCCAGGGCGGCCCUGGUCUGCAGGAAAUGGAACCAGAUGAUGUACUCGGCUGACCUCUGGCGCUACCGGACCAUCACCUUCAGUGGAAGACCAUCCAGGGCACAUGCGUCGGAAUUCGAGUCCGCCCUGUGGUAUGUGAAGAAAUUUGGUCGUUACCUGGAACAUCUGGAGAUCAAGUUUCUGAAUCCGUACAAUGCCGUCUUGACCAAGAAGUUCCAGAUCACCAUGCGAGGUCUGCUCGCAUGCCUGGGCAAGAGUAACAGCCGUCUGAAGUCUCUCUCCAUCCAGCACCUGGAGAUGGACCGUCUGGUCUGGAGGAACAGUAUCAGGAACUCGCUCAUCAAGAGCUUGAGUUUCUUCCUCAAGAAGAUGGGCAAACACCUGGAUCAGCUCAGCCUGAAAGGGGCCAGGUUGACGGUGGAGCAAGGCUGCAACAUCCUCAACUCCCUGAGCUACCUGAAGAAUGUGAGCCUGGCCUCGGAGCUUAACAUCGAAGAUUUCUUCAGCCACCAUCUAGCUGUCUACAGCAGCCCCCAGUUUCACAAGACCAUGAACACAUUCUGCAACCUUACAUCCCUGACACUCAACUACAACUGUAUCUCUGAUGAGCUGCUGGAGAGCUUGGGCGAGAACAAUGCCAGCACCCUUGGGACCAUGAACAUCAAAUGCCACAUUCACGACCCCCAUGGGCAGGUGGUCUGGGGUAUGUCCUGGGCCAAGCUGGCUAAGCAGGCCAACAACCUGAAGGUGAACUUCUUCUUUGAACGGGUCAUGAAAUACGAGCGUUUGGUUCGGAUCCUCCUGCAAGAGAUUCCCGUGAGGAGUGUCAGCCUCCGAAGCUGCUAUUUUAGUGAUCCAGACUGGUCCAUGCGGCCCACUCUCACCGACCUCCUGCCCACCUUCCGGUACACUCUGCAGGUUGGAGCCACACACAGGAGACCCUUUGUAUGCUAAGUAGGAGGGCCUAUUCCACCCACUUACUACAGGGCCUGGUAAUGGGAAAGAGGAGAAUGGAAAGAACCAACCAGAAAUUAACUUUUGAGUUCAACAAUAACCACGAGUCACUCGAUGAGGAGCUACACCUCCUCAUCCUGUCCUGCA